UUAGUGCUAUGGAAUUUGACAAGUACGUCAAGACUGAGUGUGCCAUUUUCAAUGAAUUUCUAGGAAAUAAGGCUGUAUCUUUUCAAGUGACUUUUUAGUAUAUAAACCCCAUGGAUAUAGUGAUGCCAAAUGCAUAGCAGCAGAGUUAAUAUUAAGUUUUUUGAGAGUGCAUUAAUUAAUUAAGAUGGAGUGGAAAUGGUUAUGGGUGGUUUUGGUAGCAUUCCUAUUAGGAAGGUGUUGUGAAUGUGAAAGGUGCUGGGAGCAAGAAAAAAUUGCUCUCUUGCAACUCAAACAUUUCUUUACUCAUAUUGAAGAUGUAAGAAUUAUUGGAUGGAUGAGGGAAAACAGAGUUCAGAUUGUUGUCAGUGGAAAAGGGUUGAGUGCAACACCUCCACUGGACGAGUGAUCCGACUCUUCCUUAAUCUUACAACUUUUGAAGUCUAUGGUGAUUUAGUUUAUAAUAAUAAUGAUAAUUAUAAUAUUAUUAUUAUUAUUAUUAUUUGGGAGAGUACGAUUGGAGUGGGAGAGAUUCUUGGUAUCUCAAUGCCUCUUUGUUUCUUCCUUUUGAGGAAUUGAAGAGUCUUUAUUUGGUUGGCAAUUCCAUUGCUGGUUGUGUUGACAAUCAAGGUUUUGAAAGGCUGUCACUGAAAUUGGACAAACUAGAGAUCCUUGACUUAAGUGUUAAUCAAUUCAAUGAUAGCAUUUUAGCAUCCUUAAGCGAACUUUCAUCACUCAGGUCUUUAAAUCUAGCAGAAAACCAAUUCACUGGGUCAAAUCCUAUAAAGGGUAUGAAGAGGUUAUCAAAAUUGAACAAGUUAGAGACUCUGGAUUUAUAUGGCAAUGUAUUAGGAAACAACAUCCUAUCACAUCUAGAUGGUUUCACAUCUUUAAAAUCUUUACGUUUGCAGAAUUGCGGAUUAAAAGGAACUGUUAAUUUGCGAGGUAGGGUUGUUUUAAAAAUCUCAUGGUUUUAAAAAGGAAUAACUAGAUUGAUAUAUAUUUGAUUUGAUUUGAACAGAAUUCAAUAAUUUGACAAACUUAAAGGAGUUGUAUUUAGGCGAAAAUCAAAUUGAGAGUCUCGGAUCUUUAUUUCAAAGUGUAAGUCAACAUAUACUGAAUUUGAAUAAUA
Non-coding RNA from Durio zibethinus, 1129 nucleotides. The record is from RefSeq and is a predicted model, not a curated record. NCBI's taxonomy places the organism in Eukaryota, Viridiplantae, Streptophyta, Magnoliopsida, Malvales, Malvaceae.